CAUAUCCAAAAUGAGACGAUGUGAACAUGUAGUGCAUGUUUCAUUCAUACUCGAAGCCGGAGGGCGCUCUCGCACAGAAAGUCCAAAAUGGCCUAGUAGAAGUAAUAAAUAACGGGGAUAUG
Molecule: long non-coding RNA, 122 nt
Organism: Sinocyclocheilus rhinocerous
Lineage: Eukaryota; Metazoa; Chordata; Actinopteri; Cypriniformes; Cyprinidae
Exons: 3
Source: RefSeq, a predicted model, not a curated record